GGCUCAUUAGCUUAGUUGGUAGAGCACCUGACUCUUAAUCAGGGGGUCCUGGGUUCGAGUCCCAGAUGGGUCA
This 73-nucleotide transfer RNA is filed under the name Clostridium sp. RNAcentral describes it as "tRNA-Lys". It matches the Rfam family "tRNA". From Rfam's summary of the family: Transfer RNA (tRNA) molecules are approximately 80 nucleotides in length. Lineage: Bacteria; Bacillati; Bacillota; Clostridia; Eubacteriales; Clostridiaceae. The record is from RNAcentral. RNAcentral also lists the same sequence under 9 other names.